UUAGGACUGAGAUACGGCCCAGACUCCUACGGGAGGCAGCAGUCGGGAAUAUUGCGCAAUGGAGGAAACUCUGACGCAGUGACGCCGCGUAUAGGAAGAAGGUUUUCGGAUUGUAAACUAUUUUAGACAGGGAAGAAAUUGACAGUACCUGUAGAAUAAGCUCCGGCUAACUACGUGCCAGCAGCCGCGGUAAUACGUAGGGAGCAAGCGUUAUCCGGAUUUAUUGGGUGUAAAGGGUGCGUAGACGGGAGAACAAGUUAGUUGUGAAAGCCCUCGGCUUAACUGAGGAACUGCAACUAAAACUAUUUUUCUUGAGUGCAGGAGAGGAAAGCGGAAUUCCUAGUGUAGCGGUGAAAUGCGUAGAUAUUAGGAGGAACACCAGUGGCGAAGGCGGCUUUCUGGACUGUAACUGACGUUGAGGCACGAAAGUGUGGGGAGCAAACAGGAUUAGAUACCCUGGUAGUCCACACCGUAAACGAUGGAUACUAGGUGUAGGAGAUGAUUUCAUCAUCUGUGCCGAAAGCAAACGCAAUAAGUAU
RNAcentral lists this ribosomal RNA (539 nucleotides) under uncultured Bacillota bacterium. Its description in RNAcentral is "bacterial SSU rRNA". It matches the Rfam family "Bacterial small subunit ribosomal RNA", at positions 312 to 867 of the family's 1533-position model. Lineage: Bacteria; Bacillati; Bacillota. The record is from RNAcentral.